GGGGAUGAACGAUUCGACGGAGACUCGUACAUUAAAAACUGCAAGCCGGCGAUGAUACACGAGCCGUAAAACUGUAUCAAAAUCCAAUUGCUGAGAACAAACUUAGCAAGCUUGAGGAACAGUAUCUCGCUCUUCUUGAGCGUCUUGCUCUCAAGCGAUCUAUGCAGGGACGAACGCUUGCGUUUGUGACUGCGUAAGAUCCAUCUCAUGAAUUUUCAUCCGGUGAAAGACAUGGGGUGAAAAAACAGCCGGAUCGUCAGAAAUCAGUUGACCGCCUGAUUUCGGAGCAGGGAUUGGUCGAACCCGAUUACCCAUUUUGUCUAUUUUUAGAGAGUAAUCGGUAUCAAAUAGACUACGCUUGUAGACGUUUUUUUCGUAUAUCUUCGGACCCGAGCUCAUUACUCGGCAUCUCCACAC
This 417-nucleotide transfer-messenger RNA is filed under the name bacterium. It matches the Rfam family "transfer-messenger RNA". Rfam says of the family: Bacterial tmRNA, also known as 10Sa RNA or SsrA, is named for its dual tRNA and mRNA-like properties. Its role is to liberate the mRNA from a stalled ribosome. To accomplish this part of the tmRNA is used as a reading frame that ends in a translation stop signal. The record is from RNAcentral.